CCUGGGGGUGGCCGUGCUGCUGCUGGUGAGCGCCGCCUCCGUGGGCGCCCUGGCCUACAUGCGGAGGAGGGACAGCCGCAGGAGGACCUCCAGCACUGCCUCCACCCGAGUGCUGACUCUGUACCACCGCGAGAGCGACCCCGAGGAGGAAGAUGAGGAGGAGGAAGAGCUUCCCCCCAAGGGCGACACCUUUGUGAACGAAGCUUAUGAUGGGAAGGAGGAGCUGCCAGCACCGCUGGG
Nothoprocta perdicaria is the source of this 240-nucleotide long non-coding RNA. RefSeq lists it as uncharacterized. The record is from RefSeq and is a predicted model, not a curated record. The transcript has 3 exons. NCBI's taxonomy places the organism in Eukaryota, Metazoa, Chordata, Aves, Tinamiformes, Tinamidae.